Spea bombifrons (plains spadefoot toad) is the source of this 448-nucleotide long non-coding RNA. RefSeq lists it as uncharacterized. The transcript is spliced from 2 exons. Lineage: Eukaryota; Metazoa; Chordata; Amphibia; Anura; Pelobatidae. The record is from RefSeq and is a predicted model, not a curated record.
UCUCCGGACGUGACAGUGGCACUGGCUGUCUCUGGAUGUCGUAUCAUUUGCCUGGCUGUCUCUUCAUUUGAUGUUGUGCCUAGACUGAAUUUGCAUUCUGAGGCUUGCUCUGGAUGUCAUAUUUGUUUCCUGGUUGUAAGCGGUCACUGGCUGUCUCGCUGGGUGAGACAUUGUUUCUGACAGCCACUGGAUGUGACAGUGCCCUCUCGCCUGGAUGCUUCCUUUCUUUGGGGGAUUUGUGCACAGAACACAUCACACCCCCAUAGUUUAGGUUCCUUCUGUCACAAGGGGAGAGACGUAUGCACGCCUGUACAGCCAUGUCAUCCUCAGAUGAAGAAACUCUCAGUGAGAGGUCAUACCGUAGUGAAAGGUCCUGUCGCAGUGAGAGGUCUGGAAGUUUGUCACCGUGUCCUCCAGGCGAUACUCUCCCUUGGAAUCUGCCACGCCA